RNAcentral lists this unclassified non-coding RNA (480 nucleotides) under Hevea brasiliensis (rubber tree). The record is from RNAcentral. Lineage: Eukaryota; Viridiplantae; Streptophyta; Magnoliopsida; Malpighiales; Euphorbiaceae.
AAAGAGAUGGACUCUCAAUGAUUUUGACAUAGGAAAGCCUCUUGGAAGAGGAAAAUUUGGUCAUGUAUAUUUGGCUAGGGAGAAAAGGAGCAAUCAUAUUGUUGCACUAAAAGUGCUUUUCAAGAACCAGCUUAAACAGUCUCAAGUUGAGCAUCAGCUUCGGCGCGAGGUUGAAAUACAAAGCCACCUUCGACAUCCAAAUAUCCUGAGACUUUAUGGUUACUUUUAUGAUCAGAAACGGGUUUAUUUGAUUCUGGAAUAUGCUGCCAAGGGUGAACUCUAUAAGGAGCUGCAAAAGUGCAAAUAUUUUAGUGAAAGGCGUGCUGCAACUUAUGUUGCAUCAUUGGCGCGAGCCCUCAUAUACUGUCACGGGAAGCAUGUAAUACAUAGAGAUAUUAAGCCAGAGAACCUUCUGGUUGGUGCACAGGGUGAACUAAAAAUUGCAGACUUUGGUUGGUCGGUACACACCUUCAAUCGCAG